UACAGAGGUGGCAAGCGUUGUUCGGAAUUACUGGGCGUAAAGGGCGCGUAGGCGGCCAUCUAAGUCAGACGUGAAAUCCCCCGGCUUAACCUGGGAACUGCGUCCGAUACUGGAUGGCUUGAGUUUGGGAGAGGGAUGCGGAAUUCCAGGUGUAGCGGUGAAAUGCGUAGAUAUCUGGAGGAACACCGGUGGCGAAGGCGGCAUCCUGGACCAACACUGACACUGAGGAGCGAAAGCGUGGGGAGCAAACAGG
Molecule: ribosomal RNA, 253 nt
Filed under: uncultured bacterium
Lineage: Bacteria
Description: partial 16S ribosomal RNA
Rfam family: Bacterial small subunit ribosomal RNA
Source: RNAcentral